GGUGGAGCCUCCACCUCUCUUAGACCUCAUUUAAGGACUGACUGCCACUGAGGAAGGAUCUCUUUCUGGAGUUCCCUCUUUGGUGAAGCUUUCCCCUGUGCACCUAGAAUCUUCUGAUACAGGCAGGUGGAUCCCAGCCAAGCCCACAGUCACACCAUUAUUUUGGACAUUGGUUAUCAGCAAUGCACACAGAAAAGCUGGGUUAGGAGUGCAGCUUUCAGAAGAAACAGUACUGAUAAACCUGGAAAUACCCUCAGACCUCCUAUGACACAGGAACAACACGACUGGCUUUUGCAGGCUGUUAUGGACAAAGAUAGCACUUGGCAGGGAGAAGAGCUGAACAAGAGCCAUAGCAGAGCUGAGCUGGGAGUCCACCAGGUAUUUUGCCAUCCCCAGCCAGACCAAACUUGAAGGAACGGAUAGAGGUCCUGCAGUCCACUGAUCACUGGGGAGGGAAUAUCAGUUUGUGUCCUGCUCAGGAAUUGUAUCUGCACUGAAAUAGAAGAGAAAACCUUAGAAACCUUGUUGGUGUUUGAUGCUACUGAUGUUUGUCACUAAAUGUGGGAUAUGUAGGUAUUCGAGGCCAGGUUGGAUGGGGGCCUUGGGCAACCUGAUCUGGUGCCUGAUUUUGUG
This 633-nucleotide long non-coding RNA is filed under the name Gallus gallus (chicken). Its description in RNAcentral is "lncRNA (ENSGALG00010027038.1)". Lineage: Eukaryota; Metazoa; Chordata; Aves; Galliformes; Phasianidae. The record is from RNAcentral.